CAGCCCAGAGCCUGAAUCAGUGUGUGUGUUAGUGGAAGCGUCUGGAAAGGCGCGCGAUACAGGGUGACAGCCCCGUACACAAAAAUGCACAUGCUGUGAGCUCGAUGAGUAGGGCGGGACACGUGGUAUCCUGUCUGAAUAUGGGGGGACCAUCCUCCAAGGCUAAAUACUCCUGACUGACCGAUAGUGAACCAGUACCGUGAGGGAAAGGCGAAAAGAACCCCGGCGAGGGGAGUGAAAAAGAACCUGAAACCGUGUACGUACAAGCAGUGGGAGCACGCUUAGGCGUGUGACUGCGUACCUUUUGUAUAAUGGGUCAGCGACUUAUAUUCUGUAGCAAGGUUAACCGAAUAGGGGAGCCGAAGGGAAACCGAGUCUUAACUGGGCGUUAAGUUGCAGGGUAUAGACCCGAAACCCGGUGAUCUAGCCAUGGGCAGGUUGAAGGUUGGGUAACACUAACUGGAGGACCGAACCGACUAAUGUUGAAAAAUUAGCGGAUGACUUGUGGCUGGGGGUGAAAGGCCAAUCAAACCGGGAGAUAGCUGGUUCUCCCCGAAAGCU
This 561-nucleotide ribosomal RNA is filed under the name Escherichia coli. RNAcentral's name for it is "partial 23S ribosomal RNA". It matches the Rfam family "Bacterial large subunit ribosomal RNA", at positions 293 to 867 of the family's 2925-position model. Lineage: Bacteria; Pseudomonadati; Pseudomonadota; Gammaproteobacteria; Enterobacterales; Enterobacteriaceae. The record is from RNAcentral.